Molecule: ribosomal RNA, 460 nt
Filed under: uncultured bacterium
Lineage: Bacteria
Description: partial 16S ribosomal RNA
Rfam family: Bacterial small subunit ribosomal RNA
Source: RNAcentral
CCUACGGGAGACAGCAGUGAGGAAUAUUGGUCAAUGGACGAGAGUCUGAACCAGCCAAGUAGCGUGAAGGAUGACUGCCCUAUGGGUUGUAAACUUCUUUUAUAUGGGAAUAAAAUGUUCCACGUGUGGGAUUUUGUAUGUACCAUAUGAAUAAGGAUCGGCUAACUCCGUGCCAGCAGCCGCGGUAAUACGGAGGAUCCGAGCGUUAUCCGGAUUUCUUGGGUUUAAAGGGAGCGUAGGUGGAUUGUUAAGUCAGUUGUGAAAGUGUGCGGCUCAACCGUAAAAUUGCAGUUGAAACUGGCAGUCUUGAGUACAGUAGAGGUGGGCGGAAUUCGUGGUGUAGCGGUGAAAUGCUUAGAUAUCACGAAGAACUCCGAUUGCGAAGGCAGCUCACUGGACUGCAACUGACACUGAGGCUCGAAAGUGUGGGUAUCAAACAGGAUUAGAUACCCCUGUAGUC